ACUCCUACGGGAGGCAGCAGUGGGGAAUAUUGCACAAUGGGCGCAAGCCUGAUGCAGCCAUGCCGCGUGUAUGAAGAAGGCCUUCGGGUUGUAAAGUACUUUCAGCAGUGAGGAAGGCGGAGUCGUUAAUAGCGGCCUCGUUUGACGUUAGCUGCAGAAGAAGCACCGGCUAACUCCGUGCCAGCAGCCGCGGUAAUACGGAGGGUGCGAGCGUUAAUCGGAAUUACUGGGCGUAAAGCGCAUGCAGGUGGUUUGUUAAGUCAGAUGUGAAAGCCCGGGGCUCAACCUCGGAAUUGCAUUUGAAACUGGCAGACUAGAGUACUGUAGAGGGGGGUAGAAUUUCAGGUGUAGCGGUGAAAUGCGUAGAGAUCUGAAGGAAUACCGGUGGCGAAGGCGGCCCCCUGGACAGAUACUGACACUCAGAUGCGAAAGCGUGGGGAGCAAACAGGAUUAGAUA
This 457-nucleotide ribosomal RNA is filed under the name uncultured bacterium. Its description in RNAcentral is "bacterial SSU rRNA". It matches the Rfam family "Bacterial small subunit ribosomal RNA", at positions 335 to 784 of the family's 1533-position model. The record is from RNAcentral.